CUGAAAACUCUCCAGCGUAGAAUUCAGGAACCCUGAGUUUUCUAUCUCUGUCUAGUUCUGGACUGAAUGGGCUCAAGUCAUCUAGUUAACCUCUCUGGAUUUCAGUCUUCUGAAAAGUGAAGCUAAGAGAUCUAGCAUUCUGCAGAAAAGUACUGGAGAUGACUCAGGACUGAAAAUGAUCAUGAAGCCCCUUUGCAAAUAUCAAAGUGGUGAUGAAGCAGUCAUGAACUUUGACCAGAAGCCGUGUUUUGUGGGAUUGCCACUUUAAUCGCUCCUGUUCAUCAUUAGGACUGCAGCCAGAGUGUGGAAGGAGUGACAGCACAGAGGAAGAGAUGGUCCAAGACCAAAGAGGAAAGAAAUGGCAUAAGAUGGGACAGUGUUCUAUGAUCUCUAACUGGCCAAAGAAAAAUGAGAAACAAAUUUAAAAGAAGACAGUUGGAUGACUUAAACACCACCCCUGAGAGGCAGCUGUUUCCAGAAUAUUGCACAAUUUAUUGAGUUCAUGAGAAUCGUGAUCGUUGGCAGCACCGAACUUCACGGAGGGAAUCAUAGGCACUUUAAUUCCAAUUUGUUGACUUAUGGAGGAAGAAAUUUCUCCCAGUGGUGUCCCUUCAUCCAGGAACAAGAGCCAUCAAAGUGUCACAGACUUAGAGCCGGAAGGGCUCUCCGCUAGUGUUUCUGCCAGUCCUCUUGGUUUUACACAUGAGGAAACUGAGGCCCAGAGAAGUUACCCAGUAGCAGAUCUGCAAGUCACCCAGUAGCAGAUCUGCAAGGAGCUCUUAGCAAUCCUGACUCCAAGUGUAAUGCUCUUGCAUUAGCUCUGUGCUGCCUCCUAGAUGUUGGUCUUCUUAAUGUUGAUAGCACAUUUGCUCAAAUGUUUGCUAAUAUGGUUUGGCUGUGUCCUCACCCAAAUCUCAUCUUGAAUUGUAGUUCCCAUAAUCCCCACUUGUCGUGGCAGGGACCCAGUGGGAGGUAAUUUAAUCAUGGGUGUGGUUACCCUCAUGCUGUUCUCAUGAUAGGGAGUGAAGUCUCACGAGAUCUGAUGGUUUUAUAAACAAGAGUUCUCCUGCACAAGCUCUGUUGCCUGCUGCCAUGUAAGAAGUCCCUUUGCUCUUCCUUCAUCUUCCGCCAUGAUUGUGAGGCCUCCCCAGCCAUAAGGAACCAUGAGUUCAUUAAACCUCU
Molecule: long non-coding RNA, 1182 nt
Filed under: Homo sapiens (human)
Lineage: Eukaryota; Metazoa; Chordata; Mammalia; Primates; Hominidae
Description: non-protein coding lnc-ITGB1-6:7
Source: RNAcentral